GUGGUGGUGGAGAAGGAGAAGGAGGUGGUGGCAACUUAUAUGUCGGAGGUGGAGGAAAAUAAUAUACAUAAGAGUCACCUGAAACUACAUUUGCAACCGCCAAUACGGCCAACACCACUAAGAUCAGCCGCAAACGACCAUAAAUCUUACAAUUAUUUGUGGUUUUCUAUUAAAAAAAAAUAAUUAUUCAUUAUGUGGCAUUAAUUUUUUUAAAUAACUUUUGCAUAACAUCAUGGUAUAUUAUGAGGUGGAUGAUAUACUGCUUUACUUUUAAUCGAAGAUUUCAAAUUCAUAUUCUAAGAAUGAAAAAAUAUGCAUUGAAUAUUUGAAUUAAUUGAGCUGGUAAAUUCCUUAUCGGUGAUUAUAAUAAAAAAAUAGAAAUCUUAAUUUUAAAAUACAAUAAUUUAUAAAAUUAUCUUAUAAAUUGUAGAUUACAAAAUUAAUUUAGAAUAGGGCAUUUCCCUUGAGAUUGAAAUUGUCAACAAUUACAAGUAGAAGUAAGUACUCUCAAUGCUAUAAAUAAGAUUGAUAAUUAUUUAAUUUGAUAUUAUAUCUUUAUAGUUCAUUUCUGAAUUAUUUAUAAAUUAAUAUCUGUCAUUUUCAUGCAAUACCAUAUUGGUUUAGUUUCAUUGCUUGUGGAGACUUGGUAUGACAUGAACCAAUCACAAAUAAAAAUAUAGCCAUCGUAGGUAGGGAGCGUUUUAUUCUUUAAUAUGAAAUUCUUUAGCUAGUGAAAUUAAAUUGGGCUUGCUACAAGAUCAGGUCAAGCAAUUAAAGUGAUAUUAUUUUCAAUCCGUUUGCUACGUUCCAGGUACCAAGUAACUCAUUCAGAUCUAUUUUAAAUUUUCAGUUGUAGUGAAAUGAAAUAUAGGGAACUCUUCAUCUAAGUGAUUUAUUUGACGAAUCAAUUCUCUAGACUCGUAUUCAAAACCCCUAGUUAAGAAAGAUGAGACCUAAUUUUUGUCUAUUAGAUUAAUUUUUUUCAAUUAAAAUAUAUGAUCUCAAAGUAGAAAAAAAUUAUUUUUAAUAACAAUGAAGGAUAGUUUAUAUUAUCUCGAUAGGAAACAGUCCAAUCUUUUCCCGCAUCAGUGCAAUAUGAAAGUCCUUUAGGAUUCCUUAGAAUACGAAUGAGAUUUUUAAAAAAAUGUUCUGUUAACGCUCAAGUAGAAGAAGGAAUACUUAAAUGAGAAGAUUAUUACUAGUAAAAAUUUUAUUAGUAAUACUAAAACAUGAACCAGAUGUGACAACAAAAUCAUUUUGAUAUUUUAAACCACAGAAAUAAAAAUCCACCUUAUUAAACGUAAUAUACAAUAGUUUUUUAAAUAUAUGCUCAUGCAUGUGUAAGCUAUAACAAUCAUGUAGAAAAUGAGAUCUUGAAAAAGAAUUGUUAAUCUUUACUUAUGCUUGUUGAACACAACAAAUGCCUGGUGAAAUAUUUGAUGUGCACGUACAUAACAUAUACAUGUAAAGUCGAGUUAGUUUUAACACAUAUAUAAAAGAAUUUUUUAUCAUGAUUUGUGCAUCAUAAAAUGAAAUCUUGGGAAGAUGGAUAAGUUGUUUCCCACUCGUACACUAACAUUACAAAUAAAAAAUUCAUCUAUAUAUGUAUCAUCAAUAAAAUUUCUGGUUUAUAAGUAAUUUUCAUUUGAGAAGGGUACGUACAAACUGUGCCAUCAAUGUAGGACAUAUUCUUUCCAUACCAUUUCACGAGACAUGUUUGGUUGAAUACAAAAGUUAAGAGAGAAAGAAAAGCAUUUGAAAUUUGUGAUAUAAAACAAGUCACACAAAGACGUUUGCAUCACUCAUUGCUUCCUUUUCAUACUCGAGGUGAACUCCCCAGCAUACUUGUCUAUUCUCAUAUGGGUACUGUUGAGAUAGCUCCAACAUGUCAUAAUCAUUUGGGCUCUUCCCUUCUUUAUUCCCAGAAGCAGAUUCAAACGGUAUAUAGAAGCAAAAAAUGAGAUCUGCCUCUGGAUAUGCAGGGAUGUUAUAACUGAAGGAGUAUAUUCUUUCAGGGUCAGAUUUGCAGACCAAUGUAGCUACUAAUCCUUCGUUCAGUGUAGUAGGACCGUAACUUAUCCAAAAACCCAUGAAUUUAUCGGUAUACCAAGAUGGGUUCAAAUCAAUCGAGAUCUGUUUUUGAUUUAUGAACCGAUAAUCAAACAACUUUGGAAUUUUGACUCCAGGAAAGGAAAUGAAAAAAUCAUACCUCUGAUUGAAGUCACGCUGCAUGCAUAUCCUGCGAUAAUGCUCUAGGAACUCAUUAAUUUGUUCAGUUGAGACAGCUCCAUAGUCGGAUAUCGAGAGGAGACACAGCUUAAGACAACAAACUGCAAGAUCUCUGAUGCUCUUCAAGGCUAAAUGAUAAUCUGCAUAUAGCUCCCCUAAAUUAGGGGUAGCUCUUCUGGCAAUUCAUUAAGAUUCCGACAGAAUUGUAUGUUCAGGUCAUAAAGCCGUGAGAGUUUGUUGAUGCUUUUGGGUAAACAAGAAAUAUUGCUUCCACUCACAUUCAAUUUUCCCAAAAAGUGCAAAGAUCCUAAAUCCUCAGGAAGUCCCCCCAAUAUGUUGUGAUUGCAAAGAUGAAGUUCAGCUAAGGAGGAUAAACUUGAUAGUUGAUGCAAGACGAAACUUGAGGAAUGCUGACAUUGUCGUUCAUCAUGUGAGAAACUUAACUUGCAUAGUUUGCCAAGCUUAGUGAUGGAGGGAGGUGGUGGGAGAUUGCAGUAUCACUUGCAUCAAGUUCCCAUAGCUCUUGCAGAUCACCAAUGUUUUCUGGAAGCUUCUCUAGCUUUUUGCAUCCUUUGAGGGAAAGGCGUCGAAUAUUCGUCAAAUUACAGAGGCUGUCUGGUAGACUGAUAAGAUCCUCAUAACCUUCAAGAUAGAGAUAUUUGAGGCCUCUCAGAUGCCAAAUGAAUGCUGGCACUUCUCUUAUCCCAGUAGAAUUCAAAGCCAGUUUGUUCAAGUGAUGCAUAUCUCCUUUGAUUUCUGGAAAUGUAUCUAAUUUGGGGGAAUUACAUAUCGUGAGCUCUUUAAGGGAUUCCAUCUGAAUAGAGCGUGGAAGCUUCUUUAAGUUCUCACAUCUCUCUAUCUCUAACAAAUACAGCUUGUUUUGAACUCCAAGAGAUAUGGGGAGCUCUACCAAUCCAGAACACUCGGAUAUUACAAGAUCUAACAUUUGUUGUGAUUCAAAGAGGUUGUUUGGCAGUGUUGCAAGUUUAUUACAACCUGAAAUCCUGAGUUUCCUAAGAUUUCGAAAAGUGUCCGGAAUACUUUCAAGAAUUUCACAAUUAAUCAAAUGCAAUACUCCAAGGCCACUGAGAGACCGUGGUAAGCUUCUUAUCCAGGGAGAUUCUACAUAGAGCCCUGAUAAGCGAUGCAUAUCUCCACAGAUUUCUGGAAAUUCUUGUAAGCUUGUGCAUCCUUUGAGAUUGAGAAUCUCAAGAGAUUCCAUGCACACAAAUUUUGGAAGCUUCUUAAGUUUGAGACAACCCCGCAAUCUCAAAUGAGUAAGCAUUCUGCAAUGUCCAAGAGAGGGAUGAACCUCUUCCAAAUUCACACACUCCCAUAAAUUUAGUCUCUCCAGGUUUGGCAUAUCACCAAAAUUAGGACUUUUUGUUAACUUAGAGUUGAAACUGAGAUCCAAAUGCUUCAACUUGCUCAAUUUCUAUUUCCAUUUAAAAAAAAAUAAAAAAACAAUUAGCUUAAAUAUUAGUACUCCUAAUAGAAAUAUUUUUUUUGAAAAAAAAGGGGCAAAAGGUCUAUAUAUCCUAAGCUUUGCCAUUUUGAGUUGAAAUACCUCUAAUUAUAAAAGUGGUUCAUAUAUACCUUUCAUCUAAUGGAAGUGAAAAGAAUAGUUUCAAUUUUACUUUUUUUUUAUUUUUACUUUUUAAGAAAAAACUAUGUAGGGGUAUAUGCAACAAUUUUUAAGGUUCUGAUGGGAUAUGACAUGUACAAAAAAGAUAUUCUCGCUCCGGCAUUUCCAAUUUCGACAGUGGUUCAGAAAUAGCCCUUUUAUGUACUGAAAAAUUUUUGGACUAAAAACCUUAGUCGAACUUUUCAAGUGAGUGUUUACUAAAUUAAUAGAGAGUAUACCUUUGAUAUUGGCCAAAGUUCCACAAGACAACUUUCUAGUAAAGAAAGCACGACCAGCUUUGAUGGUUCAAAGUUCUCUGGCAAUGAAGUUGAAGGAUAUCCGUCCCACUCAAUAAACUGCAGGCUGGAAGGAAGAUAAGAGAGAGCAUAGUUUGAGCUAUAAGUUCCAUUACCACCAACUAUGAGUACUUUCAAGCUUUGCAUCCUCUUGAAAAUAUUGCUAUAAUUGACAACGACAUCAUCUUCAAAAAAAUAAUUUCUUGGGAUAUGUAAGCUUUCCACCUUUUCUGUUGUCUGUAAAGAAUGUAACAUAUAUUUAAUGCCUAACAAAUUAAAAUGAAAUUAACAGAAAUAAGAACUUACGAAAUUAUUAACUACAUUAAGUAUUGCUUACCAACUGUCCUUUAAAAAGGUCACAAACUUCCUCAGGAAGCCAUAUUCUGCUGCUAGUGUACUCUUCCCGUAUGACAUGUUCACCCAUUUCUCUUAUCAUAUUAUGCAUGUUGAUUCUAUUAUCUAUGCAGAUGGAUAACAGAGAUUUUUCAAUGAGGCUAUCUAUUAGAAAACCACGAUUCCCGUCUCUAUAAAAUAGUUCCACAUAAAGACUAAAACUACCAUUACCAAAGCGUAGAAUGUUUAUAAAUGUUAUAUCCAAAAAUACUUCCUUCUCAUCUUUGGCCAGACCAACAAAACUAAGCCUAAGCUUUCCUAGAAUAUCACUGUCAGGGAUUAUCUUCAGCCGAUCAAUCAUGUGUCUCCAGUACUUUUUGUCUCGUCCAUAAAACAAAGGACCCAAAACUUUAAGAGCUAACGGGAGUCCACCAGCAUGCUUCACCACUUGUCUUGAAAGUUCGACAAAAUCCUCUUUUGGUGAUUUUUCUUUAAAAGCAUGCCUACUGAACAAUUCGAGUGCUUCAUCCUCAGAUAAUAGUUGGACUUCAUACAUGUUUUCCCCCACGUGAUUGAUUAACAGUCGCUUGUCUCGUGCUGUUAAAAUAAUUCUGCUACCCAUACCAAACCACUCCGACCCUCCAACUAAACAUUCCAACAGUUCUCGAUGGUUUACAUCAUCGAGGAUUAACAGAACUUUCUUCCUGUAAAGCAUAUUCUUCAAAAUAUUCAUCCCUUCAUAUUCACUUGUAAUAGUCAUCCUUUCACCAACGAGCUUGCAAAUGACUACUUCUUGUAGCCAUGUUAGUCCAUUUUUCUGAUAAAGUUUUCCAACAUCACCAAGAAAACAAUCAGCUUCAAAUUGAUGGCGAUAUCUCUGAUGUAAAACAUUUGCAAUUUCUGUCUUGCCAAUCCCGCCCAUACCCCAAAUACCAAUAGAGCGAACAACAUUUGAUUCCAUAUCUAAUAAUGAGGUUACUUUCUCAACCUGAGAUUUCAUACCCACUAACCUUUCCGGGAGAGGUGAAAUAAUUUGAAGUGACUUAGGAAAUAUGUUAUCAACUAGCUUCUUGAUGCACUCUGCCUCAUCCCUGCAGUACAACAAAAAUAAUCUCAGAGUAAAUAAAUAGAAAAGAAACGAAACGAAAAGACUAAUGUCUAAGACAAACACAUAAUAAUGUCACAACGUAGUUUAAAUCUAAUUACAUCAUCAAACAACCAUAUACGUCAAUGUAUUCCUAGGAUCUUUGUUCCUUUUUCCGGUAAAAGUAUAGAUGAUGAUGUUUGCUUACUUGAAAUUUGGCAAAUGAUACCCCGAUAUUUUCCCUGCCUCCACAAAUGCAUCCCUCCAUCUUUCAACCUUCUCCGUAUCAUCUUUAUAUUUUUCCUCAUGUUCGGAAAAUGAAUCAGCGAAUGGGGGAUUUUGAUGGCGCACAUCCGAUGGACUCACAUCAUAGAAGACUGGAAUCACAAUCUGCUCCAAUUCAUCUUUACACUUUAUGAUAUAUGCAAGCUCCUCUAAGCACCAUCUUGACGAUGCAUAGCUUUUUGAAAAUAUUAUGAUUGCGAAUCUGGCCUCUUCUAUGGCUUUCAAAACUUCAUCAGAAAUUAAUUUUCCUGUUUCUAGUCGCUCAUCAUCUUUAAAAGUGAGGAUCCCUCUUUGUUGCAGAGCAUUAUAGAGAUGACUCACAAUGUUUCUACGUGUAUCUUCACCUCUAAAACUCAAAAAGACAUCGUACUUGCAAAUUUUGGAAGAAGAAGCUUGAGACAUUGUUGAAGAAUAUUACUAUAACUAACAGGCAAUUCUUCAGCUUUGGGUGUAUGGUGAGAAGAUAUAUUUUUGCUCAAUGUUGUGCUGCUUAAUAAAGAGAAAAACAGGGAAAAUUAUUUCAUUUUUCAGCUGUGUGGAUGCAGAAUUUGGUAUAUGGGAAACUUUCAAUCAUCUUCCUUUCUGUUGAAUAAUAUCACUAAAGACUAACAGUGUAACAACCCUUCCCAUUGUUUUUUUUUUUACAUAUAAAAACAUUGGUAGUGCUCCACUUGGAGCUAGUGGAUGCUAUUCCACUUGUUUUGGCCGGUGCAUUAUUUUAUUAUUAUUAUUAUUUUGUCCAUUUCUAUAAUACCAACUUUGAUUAAAGAAUUUAUAAGUUGAGCCUCCACAAUGUCCAACAAUAUACUACCAUCUGCCUAUAUAUAUAUAUAUCAGGGAAUAACGCAAGAGGGAGAUAUAGAUAAGGCAGAAAAAUAUUGAGUUUCAGGGAGGUGUUAAUUAUUUUGUAUAGCUUUGAAACUAAUUGUGUAGAGCUUCGAUAAUUUUAUCCUUGUAAGCUCUUAUUUUUUAAAUUUAUUAUAAUAAUUUAAUUUAUAUAAAUAAGUUUAUUUUCGUGUAUUUUUAGGUACUUCAUUAUGAGAAUUUUAUUUAUAAGGAUUUUUACUAAUUAAAAAUUAUAUUAUUUGAAGGAUUUAAGAUUUUAUCCUGCACUUGAAGUUUUGAAAAUUAAUAACGAAAUAGGUUGGUCUUGGGGUCUAGGAUAGACAUAUAGUAAUAUGUGUAUUGUGAGUUGUAAAAAUCUUAUGGUAAUAAUUUAUUUGACUAGAUCGUGAUGCUACGGGUCCCAUUUAAAAAGGAAAGGACAAAGUGAUAUAUUGAUCGUGAUUUAACUAAGGCAAGUGGACUUUCUAAACUUUGUAAUUCAUGUAGAAUUCUCAAAAUUUCCUUUCUUCUAUGUGGCACAGUGAUUAUCUAUUAUUGAAAUCAAAGUGAUACUUAUUUUUAGAUGUGAAUGUUGUUGAAGUUGUGAUGAUAUGAAGAUUGAGGCUAUUGAAAUAUUUAUGGUAUUGAGCUAACUAUGGUUAAUUUGAGAUGUAUGCUUCGUAUGAGCAUCCUGCACAUUUCAUGACUAUUGUGCAUUUAUUAUGUGUUUGCUGGAUGAUCCAAGAAAAGAAACGAAAAAUAAAAGAAAAAAAUGUAAUAUUUCGAGGGUCGUGGUGCACGCCGCAUCGGAUACAUGGUCCAUGUGUGGCUCCCAUGGAGGCAUGUUUAUGAUCAACAGAUGUGUAUCACUAGGACAAACAUGCAUCACGAUUAUUUGACAUUGCAUCGCAUUAUUUGCAUCUCACGACAUUCAUUUCAUCACAUAAUGUUCUGGCUUGUUAUUAUUACGUGGAAUUCUAUUGAGAUGGAAUAAUUGUUAUAUUAUUUGACUUAUUUAUGACUUUACAUGAUUAGCUCUUAAUAUGGAUUUAUUGAUAUUUGAGAAAUUAAUGUGAACUUGAUAAAUUGUGGAAUUUGCCCUGUGACUUGAAAAGAGGAUAAUGAUUAAUGAUGUAUUAUAUCUUGUUGGGCUGGCUAAUUUUCUACGCAGGUUGUAGUUGCGGAGGUAGGAUGGAAUGAAAAGAGUUUGUGUAUUCUAUUGGACUUACUUUGUUUAGUUAGUUGACUUGCUGGGUAUCGCGUGGUAUUUGGUACUCACUCCUUGCUAUAUUUUUGUAGGUUGUAAGCCCGGACAGUGAAUAGUAUUUUCCUUGAUCCUCCGAGCUUUCCCAGGAGACGUAGAGAGGUAGCUGUCGAUAUCUGGCUAACUCUCUUGUUCCUAUUUCGUUUGUACUUGUUCUAUUUUAGAAGUAGGACAAUUUGGACUUGUAUUUUCUUUGAUUUUCUGUAUUGCUAGUGACUUGUACGCAUGACAACCAAUCCUUGGGGUGGUAUUUAAGUUUAUGAAAAUUCUCAACUUUAGAUAUUUACCCUAGUUAAUUUCUUCCACGCAAUAUUUUAUUAUCCCUUUAGUUAAGGUUGACUUGUUCUGGUGGGAUUGAGCAAGUACAAUCACACCAAAUUUUUGGAUCGUGACAAACAGGUAUAUGGUGAGAAAAUAUAUUUGCUCAAUGUUGUGCUGCUUAAUAUAGAGAAAUAUUUGAAGGCAAACUUAUUUCUUUUCCUCCAAUAUGUGUGUAUUAUAAUCUUAAUACACACAUGCUAAAAAACUUGAAAAUAGAAUGAUUUUCAUGCUAAAAAACUUAAAAGUCGAAUGAUUUAUAGUGUUAAAAAUAGAAUGAUUUUCAUGCUAAAAAGCUUAAAAAAAAGUCAAACCAUCAACUUCAAAUUUCAGAUCCAUCUCUAUUUGUACUUGAACAAGCAAAUAAGAGUUGAACAUGUGUCCAUUAAUACUCCCACACGUUUUAUUUAAAAUUCUGAAUCUUCCUCGGAACGUCAUGACUAGCAGGCAUAUAAUUUUUAAAUAUUUAUGGUGAGAUAUAUGUGCUAUGAUAGAUUCAAAAUCUAAACUAGUCAAUUCUAAAAUAUUAAUUCUUGAUAAUUUUGCAUCACAUUGGAUUAGUCAUGAAAGUGAAAACUUACUAAUAAAUCAACAUGAAUAUGAAGUUUAAAAAAUGGUGACAUGUUUGCAAAGGGAACAAGACAAAACAAUGAAAAGAACAAAGUUCAUCUUUUUUAUUGAUAUGGUGCAUAAAGCACAUGAAGAUACAGAAAACAAGUUGUUAUAACUAAUGUAAAAUGAAUAAAUUAAAGCCUUUGAAAUAUCAAAAGUCAGAUACACCUCAAAGGACCACUAACAAAUUAAUUAAGUCGUUGAAGCCACUUCCUCCAAGAAGAUACAAUAAUAACAAUGUGCAAGAAGGCCUCAAGAGAAGGAGGAACAAAUUUCUCCAUGUCUAAGCUGUCUUUAGAACUUAGUAAUGGGUCGUCGGAGGCGGUGGAGAGGCGUAAAUGUAUACUGGUGGAGGAGGUGAUUUCACGGGUGGAGGAGGUGAGUUGUAGUAGUAGGGGCGAGGAGGAGAUUUUAUUGGUGGAGGUGGAGAGUGGUAGUAGUAUGGAGGUGGAGUAGAAGGUGACGGUGGAAGAGGUGACUUGUAGUAGUAAGGUGGAGGUGGUGACGGAGAUGGUGGAGGAGGAGAUUUGUAAUAGUAGGGUGGUGGAGGAGAUGGCGAUGGGGGUGGUGGUGACUUGUAGUAGUAUGGUGGAGGGGGAGAAGGCGAUGGUGGUGGAGGAGACUUGUAGUAGUAUGGUGGAGGGGGAGAAGGCAAUGGUGGAGGUGGGGACUUGUAGUAGUAUGGUGGUGGAGGAGAUGGCGAUGGUGGGGGUGGGGACUUGUAGUAGUAUGGUGGUGGAGGAGAUGACGAUGGUGGUGGUGGAGACUUAUAGUAGUAUGGUUGAGGUGGGGAUGGGGAUGGAGGGGGAGGAGAUUUAUAAUAGUAAGGAUGCGGGGGAGAGGGUGAUGGUGGUGGUGGGGACUUGUAGUAGUAAGGUGGGGGUGGUGAUGGGGAUGGUGGGGGAGGAGAUUUGUAAUAGUAAGGAGGUGGCUGUGAUGGCGAUGGUGGUGGUGGUGAUUUAUAGUAGUAUACAGGUGCAGGUUUUGGUGAUGGUGGUGGAGGAGACUUAUAGUAGUAAUGAGGUGGGGGAGAAGGUGACGGUGGUGGUGGUGAUUUAUAAUAGUACACAGGUGCAGGUGUUGGUGAUGGUGGUGAUUUAUAAUAGUAUAUCGGUGUAGGUUUUGCUGAUGGUGGCGGUGGAGAUUUGUAAUAAUAAUGUGGUGGAAACUUAGUCGGUGGUGGUGGAGAUUUGUAAUAGUAAGCAGGUGGUGGUGGAGACUUAUAAACGUAUGUUGGGGUUGGAGGAGGUGGUGACUUGUACACAUAAGUCGGUGAUGGAGGUAGUGGAGAUUUAUAAUAGUAUGGAGCACGUGUAUGCUUUGGCUUUGUGCAUUUCACAUAAGUCGUCGUAGAACCAUAAGCAAAUGGUUUUGCAUAGAGGACAACUUCAUAUUUAUUCUUUGACUUCACUUUGAGGUUAGCACCCUUAAUUCCCCAAUGAAGGUUUGUAGGAAUGCUACAUUCUGAGUCCUUUGGAGCAUUGUGAAGUUUAGCCUUGCAAGCCUUUGCUCCAUAUUUGCGAUAUUCGAAUCCUUCAACUGUGAUGCUAAAUUUGCCAUUGUUCUUUGUAGUACCAUAACUCACAAUUUCCUUGUCUCCAGCCUUGCAAGUUACCUCAACAACAGCACCUAAUUCACAGAAAGAAGAAAUGUUACUCAACUAAUAUAAUUGAAUUGUAUGUUAUUACUUUUCAGAAUUUACAUCACAGGUUACCAUCUGUUAUUCAUUCAUAGGUUGCAUAUUGAACUUCUUAAAAACUUAAUGAUGAAUAGUACAACAUAAAGAAUAUAAGAUCUGUACCUUUGAGGUGCUUCUUAGCAUGAGACUUUUCUGGGUAUUUCUUGUCAUAGCAUCUAAAACAGUAAACUUUUCCAACAACCUUGACCACAAAGUGAUGAUGUGGAGAAUAAUAGUGAGUAGGUGGUGGUGGGGAAGUGUAGUAAUGUGGAGGAGGAGGCGACUUAGCUGGUGGUGGUGGUGAAGUGUAGUAGUAUGGUGGAGGAGGUGACUUAACUGGCGGUGGUGGAGAAGUGUAGUCAUAUGGAGGAGGAAGAGAUUUCUUGGGUGGUGGAGGAGAGUUGUAGUAGUACGGUGGAGGAGUCGACUUAGCUGUUGGUGGUGGUGAAGUAUAGUGAUAGGGUGGAGGAGGUGAUUUCUUUGUUGGUGGAGGAGAAUUGUAGUAGUAUUUUGGAGGAGUAGACUUCUUCGGGGGUGGUGGAGAAUUGUAGUAAUAUGGUGGUGGAGGCGAUUUCUUGGGUGGAGGUGGGGAGUUGUAGUAGUAAGGUGGAGGCGGUGAAGACUUAGGAGGCGGUGGAGACUUAUAGUAGUAGGGUGGUGGAGGUGAUGGUGAUGGUGGUGGAGGAGAUUUGUAAUAGUAAGGUGGUGGUGGGGAAGGUGAAGGAGGUGGUGGAGAUUUGUAGUAGUAUGGUGGAGGUGGUGAUGGUUUGGGUGGUGGUGGAGAUUUGUAAUAAUAUGGUGGCGGGGGUGAUGGUGAAGGUGGUGGAGGAGAUUUAUAGUAGUAUGGUGGUGGUGGUGAAGGUGAUGGUGGAGG
RNAcentral lists this long non-coding RNA (11422 nucleotides) under Solanum pimpinellifolium. Its description in RNAcentral is "long non-coding RNA (SPIM_LNC000131)". The record is from RNAcentral. Lineage: Eukaryota; Viridiplantae; Streptophyta; Magnoliopsida; Solanales; Solanaceae.